Molecule: ribosomal RNA, 700 nt
Filed under: Enterobacteriaceae bacterium HFH0014
Lineage: Bacteria; Pseudomonadati; Pseudomonadota; Gammaproteobacteria; Enterobacterales; Enterobacteriaceae
Description: bacterial SSU rRNA
Rfam family: Bacterial small subunit ribosomal RNA
Source: RNAcentral
GCUUGCUGCUUUGCUGACGAGUGGCGGACGGGUGAGUAAUGUCUGGGAAACUGCCUGAUGGAGGGGGAUAACUACUGGAAACGGUAGCUAAUACCGCAUAACGUCGCAAGACCAAAGAGGGGGACCUUCGGGCCUCUUGCCAUCGGAUGUGCCCAGAUGGGAUUAGCUAGUAGGUGGGGUAACGGCUCACCUAGGCGACGAUCCCUAGCUGGUCUGAGAGGAUGACCAGCCACACUGGAACUGAGACACGGUCCAGACUCCUACGGGAGGCAGCAGUGGGGAAUAUUGCACAAUGGGCGCAAGCCUGAUGCAGCCAUGCCGCGUGUAUGAAGAAGGCCUUCGGGUUGUAAAGUACUUUCAGCGGGGAGGAAGGGAGUAAAGUUAAUACCUUUGCUCAUUGACGUUACCCGCAGAAGAAGCACCGGCUAACUCCGUGCCAGCAGCCGCGGUAAUACGGAGGGUGCAAGCGUUAAUCGGAAUUACUGGGCGUAAAGCGCACGCAGGCGGUUUGUUAAGUCAGAUGUGAAAUCCCCGGGCUCAACCUGGGAACUGCAUCUGAUACUGGCAAGCUUGAGUCUCGUAGAGGGGGGUAGAAUUCCAGGUGUAGCGGUGAAAUGCGUAGAGAUCUGGAGGAAUACCGGUGGCGAAGGCGGCCCCCUGGACGAAGACUGACGCUCAGGUGCGAAAGCGUGGGGAGCAA